AUUGAACGCUGGCGGCAGGCUUAACACAUGCAAGUCGAACGAGUGGCGGACUGGUGAGUAAUGCUUGGGAAUCUAGCUUAUGGAGGGGGAUAACUACGGGAAACUGUAGCUAAUACCGCGUACCAUAGGAUGAGCCCACGUGGGAUUAGGUAGUUGGUGGGGGAAAGUCUCACCAAGCCGAAGAUCUCUAGCUGGUCUGAGAGGAUGACCAGCCACACGGGGACUGAGACACGGCCCAGACUCCUACGGGAGGCAGCAGUGGGGAAUAUUGCGCAAUGGGGGCAACCCUGACGCAGCCAUGCCGCGUGAAUGAAGAAGGCCUUCGGGUUGUAAAGUACUUUCAGCGGGGAGGCGUUACCCGCAGAAGAAGCACCGGCUAACUCCGUGCCAGCAGCCGCGGUAAUAC
RNAcentral lists this ribosomal RNA (406 nucleotides) under uncultured bacterium. RNAcentral's name for it is "partial 16S ribosomal RNA". It matches the Rfam family "Bacterial small subunit ribosomal RNA", at positions 30 to 526 of the family's 1533-position model. The record is from RNAcentral.